UCCUUGGUGGUUCAAUGGUUGGGACUCUGCACUCCCACUGCAGGGGGCUCAGGUUCAACCCCUGGUGGGGGAA
RNAcentral lists this transfer RNA (73 nucleotides) under Bos taurus (domestic cattle). It matches the Rfam family "tRNA". Rfam says of the family: Transfer RNA (tRNA) molecules are approximately 80 nucleotides in length. Their secondary structure includes four short double-helical elements and three loops (D, anti-codon, and T loops). Further hydrogen bonds mediate the characteristic L-shaped molecular structure. tRNAs have two regions of fundamental functional importance: the anti-codon, which is responsible for specific mRNA codon recognition, and the 3' end, to which the tRNAs corresponding amino acid is attached (by aminoacyl-tRNA synthetases). tRNAs cope with the degeneracy of the genetic code in two manners: having more than one tRNA (with a specific anti-codon) for a particular amino acid; and 'wobble' base-pairing, i.e. permitting non-standard base-pairing at the 3rd anti-codon position. RNAcentral also lists the same sequence under 2 other names. The record is from Rfam by way of RNAcentral. Lineage: Eukaryota; Metazoa; Chordata; Mammalia; Artiodactyla; Bovidae.